UAACUUUUGGGUUUGAUUCUGGCUCCGGAAGAACGCUAGCAGCAAGCUUUAGACAUGCAAGUAUAAAAACGAUUUUUUGUUUUUGCGCACGGGCGAGAAAGUUAAAGAACUUUUUAUUGAUCGGAGUAGUGAAAAAAGUAGUUUUUCGAAAUAAAUGGCUUUAACGAGAUCAGGUAGUUGGUGUAGUACAAUCGCUCACCAAGCCAAAGACCUCAAGUAGUUCUGAGUAGGAAGAUCUACCGCAUCGAAACUGAAAUAAGGUUCGAACUCUAUAAAGAGGCAGCAGUCAGGAAUCUUGGACAAUGGGCGAAAGCUUGAUCCAGCUAUGCUGCGUGAUGAAAAUAGGCUUUUUUAAGUCUGGUUUAUCGUUAAUCAAAAAAAUAAGAUUAUUUGUCUUAAAAAGUCCUGGCAAACUUCGUGCCAGCAGCCGCGGUAAAACGAAGAGGGCGAGCGUUUUCCACAAGGACUGGGCGUAAAACGUGAGUGGGUUGGUUUUUUAUUAAGAAUUAGAUCCUUUUCUUUUUUCCCAAAGAAAAUGUUUUUUCUCGAAAACUUAGAGAAUAUUAAAAAGGUACGGGUAAUUACGAGCGUAGAGCUAAGAUUCUAAAAUCCUCGUAGGAAAGCCAGAGGUGAAAGCCCCUACCAAGAAAUUUCUGUCACUAUAUCACGAAAGCGUGGGGAGCAAAAAGGAUUAGAUACCCUUGUAGUCCACGCCGUCAACGAUGCUAGUUACUUUUUUGUUAACACAAAAACUAGCUGCCUGGGAAGUACGGUUGCAAAACUAAAACCCAAAGAAACUGUCGGGAGUCGGCCUUAGCGAUGGAGUAUGCUGCUUUAUUCGAUGCAACGCGCAGAACCUUACCAUUUUUUGAAAACUAUACGAGUUUUUGAUUCUGUAGCACAGGUAUUGCAUGGCUGUCGUCAGUUCGUGUCGUAAGACGUUUGGUUUAGUCCUUUUUACGAAUGAAAUACAUAUUUUCUAUUUCUGAUGAAGAAAAGAAAAAAAAUCUCUAAAAAUAAUUAGUUCGAUUGAAAAUUGUGCGAUGUCAAGUCUUUAUGGUCUCAAUAAAAUGGGCUGCAAGCAUACUACAAUAUAAAAAAUAGAAAGUUGCGCGAUUGCGAAAGGAAGCUAUCCUUUAAUUUUUUAUAAACGGAUUGUUUUCUGUCACUCGAAAACAUGAAGAAGGAAUCGCAAGUAAUCGUAAAUAAGUUAUGUUACGGUGAAAGAGUAUCCUGGCUUUGAACACACCGCCCGUCACACGCUAGCAUUUGCUUGUUUUCAAAAUAAUAACUCUUUUUUUAUUGUGUUGUUAUGCUUUAAAAAAAAAAGUGAUUAUAAAAAAGCAGGGAAAAACUGGGGUGAAGUCGUAACAAGGUUGCCGUAGAGGAAUCUGUGGCAGGAUUAUCUCAAGC
This 1413-nucleotide ribosomal RNA is filed under the name Pycnococcus provasolii. Its description in RNAcentral is "small subunit ribosomal RNA". It matches the Rfam family "Bacterial small subunit ribosomal RNA". Lineage: Eukaryota; Viridiplantae; Chlorophyta; Pseudoscourfieldiophyceae; Pseudoscourfieldiales; Pycnococcaceae. The record is from RNAcentral.